Molecule: ribosomal RNA, 610 nt
Filed under: Marinobacter sp.
Lineage: Bacteria; Pseudomonadati; Pseudomonadota; Gammaproteobacteria; Pseudomonadales; Marinobacteraceae
Description: bacterial SSU rRNA
Rfam family: Bacterial small subunit ribosomal RNA
Source: RNAcentral
CUACACAUGCAGUCGAGCGGUAACAGGGGGUGCUUGCACCCCGCUGACGAGCGGCGGACGGGUGAGUAAUGCAUAGGAAUCUGCCCAGUAGUGGGGGAUAGCCCGGGGAAACCCGGAUUAAUACCGCAUACGCCCUUUGGGGGAAAGCAGGGGAUCUUCGGACCUUGCGCUAUUGGAUGAGCCUAUGUCGGAUUAGCUAGUUGGUGGGGUAAAGGCCUACCAAGGCGACGAUCCGUAGCUGGUCUGAGAGGAUGAUCAGCCACAUCGGGACUGAGACACGGCCCGAACUCCUACGGGAGGCAGCAGUGGGGAAUAUUGGACAAUGGGGGCAACCCUGAUCCAGCCAUGCCGCGUGUGUGAAGAAGGCUUUCGGGUUGUAAAGCACUUUCAGUGAGGAGGAAAACCUUCUGGUUAAUACCCAUGAGGCUUGACGUUACUCACAGAAGAAGCACCGGCUAACUCCGUGCCAGCAGCCGCGGUAAUACGGAGGGUGCAAGCGUUAAUCGGAAUUACUGGGCGUAAAGCGCGCGUAGGUGGUUUGAUAAGCGAGAUGUGAAAGCCCCGGGCUUAACCUGGGAACGGCAUUUCGAACUGUCAGGCUAGAGUGUGG